GAUUAACGCUGGCGGCGUGCAUAACACAUGCAAGUCGAACGAUGAAACUUAAAAGAUUUCUUCGGAAUGACAUUAAGUGGAUUAGUGGCGGACGGGUGAGUAACGCGUGAGUAACCUGCCUUACACAAGGGGAUAGCCUCUGGAAACGGAGAAUAAUACCCUAUAACACCAUCAAAUCGCAUGAAGUGAUGGUCAAAGUGUUAGCGGUGUAAGAUGGACUUGCGUCUGAUUAGCUAGUUGGUGAGAAAAAAGCCCACCAAGGCAACGAUCAGUAGCCGGCUUGAGAGAGUGUACGGCCACAUUGGGACUGAGACACGGCCCAGACUCCUACGGGAGGCAGCAGUAGGGAAUCUUCCGCAAUGGACGAAAGUCUGACGGAGCAACGCCGCGUGAGUGAUGAAGGUUUUCGGAUCGUAAAACUCUGUUGUUAGGGAAGAACAAGUACCGUUCGAAUAGGACGGUCCCAUGACGGUA
This 474-nucleotide ribosomal RNA is filed under the name uncultured bacterium. RNAcentral describes it as "bacterial SSU rRNA". It matches the Rfam family "Bacterial small subunit ribosomal RNA", at positions 28 to 477 of the family's 1533-position model. The record is from RNAcentral.